AUGGAGAGGAUGGCGUCCUCCUACUUCAAGGAGAUUUUUACCAAGGAUCCUACCUUGGUUGCAGAUGAGGUUCUUAACAUCAUAGCACCAAAAGUAACUUUGGAGAUGAAUGAGGCCCUCUGCAAGGCGUUUUCCGAGCAAGAAAUAUCUGAUGCCCUCUUCCAAAUUGGCCCCUUGAAGGCCCCUAGAUGUGAUGGCUUUCCUGCACGUUUUUAUCAACGUAAUUGGGCUGUGCUUAAACCGGAGAUUAUUGCUGCAGUUCAAGAGUUUUUUAACACAGGGAUUAUGCCGGAGGGUAUAAAUGAUACAUCUAUUGUGUUAAUUCCUAAAGUUCCUCACCCCAAGGAACUAAAGGAUUUCCGUCCAAUAAGUUUGUGCAAUGUGGUAUACAAGAUUGUGUCGAAGUGCAUGGUGAAUAGGUUGCGUCCGAUGCUUAAUGAACUUAUAUCAGAGAACCAGAGCGCUUUCAUCCCAAGGAGACUCAUCUCUGAUAAUUCUAUCAUUGCAUUCGAGUGUAUUCACCAUAUUCAAUCAGUGAAGGAGAAUUCUCCGGCUUUGUGUGCUUAUAAACUGGAUCUCUCGAAUGCCUACGAUCAUGUGGAUUGGGACUUUCUUGAGAAGGCCCUUGUGAAAUGGGGUUUCUCGGAGAUCCGGAUCUCGCGAGUAAUGGCUUGUGUUACUUCUGUCAGAUAUUUAGUAAAGUUUAAUGGCAAGUUACUGGAAUCAUUUUCCCGCUCGAGGGGGCUGCGACAAGGUGACCCUCUGUCCCCCUUUCUAUUCUUAUUUGUGGCUGAUGCCCUUUCUGCCUUUAUCAGUAACUCUAUGAGGGAAGAGAGUUUGCAAGGGGUGAAAAUUUGUCGUGGGGCUCCUGAGAUUUCUCAUCUACUUUUUGCGGAUGAUUUCCUGUUAUUCUUCCAAGCAACCGAGCAGCAAGCGGCACUGAUUAAAGAUUUGUUGAACACCUUCGCGUCAGCCACGGGCCAAUUGAUAAACCCCUCGAAGUGUUCCAUUCUUUUUUCACACAAUUGCUUGCAAGCUGUUGUGACAAAUAUCAAGAGUGUGUUGGAGAUUACUCAGGAAGUUUUUGAGCCUAGAUACCUAGGUCUUCCAGUGCCGGAAGGAAGGAUGCACAAAGGCAAGUUUGAAACAGUUCAAGAACGCCUAAGAAAGAGACUAAUUGAUUGGAGUGAGAAAUAUAUGUCAUCAGGUAACAAAGAAAUCUUAAUUAAAUCCAUGGCUCAAGCUAUUCAUGCUUAUGUUAUGAGUGUGUUCACGCUUCCAGCCUCGGUUUGUGAUGAGCUUACCCGUAUGAUGCACCAAUAUUGGUGGGGAGAGGAGAAUGGGAAGAAGAAAAUGGCGUGGAUGAGUUGGGACAAAAUGAGUCUCCCUAAAUCUAUGGGGGGCAUGGGUUUCAGGGAUAUGAGAGCGUUCAACCAAGCGCUGCUAGCUAAGCAAGCUUGGAGGCUUCUUGACUCCCCUGACAGCCUAUGUGCGAGACUAAUGAAGGCAAAGUAUUACCCUCAAGGUCAGUUGCUAGAUACAGUAUUCUCAAUCUCUGGUUCAGUAGUGUGGAAAGGUAUAUUGCAUGGUUUGGAGCUGCUCAAAAAAGGUGUCAUAUGGCGGGUGGGGGACGGGGAGCACAUCCGGACGUGGCGAGAUCCUUGGAUCCCACGACCAUCUUCCUUCCGGCCGAUCACCCCAAAAGGCUCCCGCCGGCUCAAUCGUGUUUCAGCGUUUCUGGAUGCUAAUGGGGCAUGGAGGGCUGAUCGCCUCCAUGAAUAUUUUUGGGAGAUGGAUGUUCAACGUAUUCUCAAAAUUCGAACUUCUCCAAGACAGCGGUCUGACUUUAUCUCAUGGUAUCCAGAGAAGAGUGGAGGUUUCAGUUAA
Molecule: ribosomal RNA, 1887 nt
Filed under: Triticum aestivum (bread wheat)
Lineage: Eukaryota; Viridiplantae; Streptophyta; Magnoliopsida; Poales; Poaceae
Description: partial small subunit ribosomal RNA
Source: RNAcentral